RNAcentral lists this ribosomal RNA (591 nucleotides) under uncultured bacterium. Its description in RNAcentral is "partial 16S ribosomal RNA". It matches the Rfam family "Bacterial small subunit ribosomal RNA", at positions 354 to 932 of the family's 1533-position model. The record is from RNAcentral.
UGGGGGAAUAUUGCACAAUGGGCGCAAGCCUGAUGCAGCCAUGCCGCGUGUGUGAAGAAGGCCUUCGGGUUGUAAAGCACUUUCAGCGAGGAGGAAGGUGGUGAGCUUAAUACGCUCAUCAAUUGACGUUACUCGCAGAAGAAGCACCGGCUAACUCCGUGCCAGCAGCCGCGGUAAUACGGAGGGUGCAAGCGUUAAUCGGAAUUACUGGGCGUAAAGCGCACGCAGGCGGUUUGUUAAGUCAGAUGUGAAAUCCCCGGGCUCAACCUGGGAACUGCAUUUGAAACUGGCAAGCUAGAGUCUCGUAGAGGGGGGUAGAAUUCCAGGUGUAGCGGUGAAAUGCGUAGAGAUCUGGAGGAAUACCGGUGGCGAAGGCGGCCCCCUGGACGAAGACUGACGCUCAGGUGCGAAAGCGUGGGGAGCAAAACAGGAUUAGAUACCCUGGUAGUCCACGCUGUAAAACGAUGUCGAUUUUGGAGGUUGUGCCCUUGAGGCGUGGUUUUUCCGGGAGCCUAACGCGUUAAAUCGACCGCCUGGGGGAGUACGGCCGCAAGGUUAAAAACUCAAAAUGAAUUGACGGGGUCAUAGCUG